Molecule: RNA transcript, 4299 nt
Organism: Capsicum annuum
Lineage: Eukaryota; Viridiplantae; Streptophyta; Magnoliopsida; Solanales; Solanaceae
Gene name: SUMO-conjugating enzyme UBC9-like
Exons: 3
Source: RefSeq, a predicted model, not a curated record
UUAUUUUAUUCCGUCCAUUUUCACUAUAAAUUUCAUUAAGUACGCCAAAAAACAUUUUAAUAAAACUUUCUAAAAUAGAUACAAUUGCUUAAACCUACUACACUGCUAUAAUCGCUACAGCUGGUGGAGACGCCAUGGAGCUCGACGAUCUGGUACUGAGCUCUGCCCGUGGUGCCGUGGAGAUUGACUCCAUGGAGUGUUCUUCCAAGGAAUUUCUGUUGUUCAUUAUCAGUAAAUUCUUUUUUCUCCCACAAAUAUUUAGGUGUCGUUUGGUUAGCGUUAAAGAAAUACAGUGUUUGGUUGGUCACAUAAGAACAAAUAAUUACCACAUAGCUUUGAUUUACUGGUGCUAGGGAUAUUCAUACGAACAUAUCUGUGAUUUGUAUCCUUGAAUUGGACCGACUAUAGUGAGCUGUGGCGUAGUGAGCUUCAGACCGACUGUAGAAUUGCAAUUUGGUGAGUUAAAGAUAAACCAUAUCUGAUUUGCACUUUAAUUUCAUACCGAAUUUGCACUUCAAUUUGCGAUUAGAGCAAAUUUUGUACUUCAAUUUCUCUGAGUGUUGAAAAGUGAGACCAAAUUUCAGCUCUCAAUUUGUGUUGGAAAGUCAGACUGAAUUUACACUUUAAUUUCUCUCAAAUUUGCACUUCAAUUGCUUCAAUUUGGGGAUUUUAAGAUUAGUGUGUUCUUCUCCGACUUUGACCUAAUUUUUGUGGAUUUUGGAUUUUUCUUCUUCUUAGAGAACAUUUGAUUGUUGUCCUUGAAUACACUAGACCAAAUAAUAGAUAAGAAACUAUCUCCGCAUAACUAAUUUCAAAAUUAAUCUCAACAUUACUAAUCAUCUGUGCACUUUAAUGAUGAUUGGAAAGCAUUUCUGUAGAGAUUCCAUUUUAUCAGUAAUGUAGUCCAUUGUAUUUGUUUAUUGUUUAGUUUUUAAAUACAUAGAUAAGUGUUGAUUCCUCUUGAAAAGAAGAGAAAAGUUUUAUACAUGAGGGUUUGAUGUAAUGAUUUCUCUUGACAUAACCUAUACAACAAUGCAGAAUUUCACGCUACCAGUUUUCAAAAGAAAUUAGGUAACUUCUUCUUCUUGAAGCAAUUGGAAGUGUUCCUUUGUUGUAUAGAUAUCAUCCACUCAUCAUGUAUUCCUCCCACCUUGUGUUUUGUUCUCCUCAUGUGGUGAUGGAUAUCCAUAUUAUUCAUAUUGAAAGCCUUGCAAUAAAAAGUAAUCCGUGCCUUACAUGUUUUUCAGUGUGAAUUGUUUCUCUACAUAGUCAUCCCUCCCAGUGCAUUCUGCUCAUCACAGUUCUUUCUAAUUUCCUUGAAAUGCUGUUCUUGUUGCCAGCUGAUUCUUUAACUGUUUUAGUCCUAUGGAGAUAUUCCACUAGAGUACCUUGUAAAUCUAUUUACUUAUGGUCUAGGGCCUUUGGUUAAUUCUUUAACAAGUUGUUUAAAUAGUAUUGCAUCUUUGCAAGGGAUGUACAUGCUAUGUGAUUGAUCAUUGACUGUUAUUAUCUUUCUUGACUUUGUACGAUCUGGUAACAGGGCUCGGUUGAGGGGACAUGUUUCAUUGGCAGGCUAUAAUUAUGGGUCCCCCAGACAACCCUUAUACUGGUGGUGUAUUUUUAGUUACUAUCCAUUUUCCUCCUGAUUAUCCAUUCAAACCUCCAAAGAUAUGAAAUGGUUCAAAUUACUUUGUGACUUCUACCUUGGUAAUUAUUUUUGUUGUUAGUCAAGGACAUAUUUAUUUUCAGAUUUACUAUAUGGAACAUGGUUCUGCUAUAUUCUGUCAUGUAAGUUAACUCUGUAUGAGGAUGUUAAGACCCUGUUUAUUUUCAGGUUUACUAUAGGCAACAUAGUUCUGUUGUAUUCUAUCUUCUAAGCUAACUUUGUAUGAGGAUGUCGAUGUAGAUUUGCUGGUAACAAGCUCCUGUUUAUGGAGCAUAGCUUUUGGGGAAUUGCACCCAACUGAAUAAGUGGAUAUGGGCUGUUAACUAUUGAUGUGUCACUGGUGGAUCCAUUGUUGGUUUGUUUACUCGUAGGCUUGUAAAUUACACCUUUUGGAUACUUGAGAUGUCAGUUUUUUUCUAGUUAUAUGUACUAGAUAAGGUCGAGAAAUAGAUAAAGAUAUUUAUUUAUUUUUGGGGGUGGGGUGGGGGUCCUGGAGUUCAUGAUAGACGACCAAAGUGGGAUGGUGGGAGCAUUCUUAUAAAUUUAGGUUUAUUGGUGAGUGUGACUAAUUAAAAGUUGAGAGUCACGGAUUAUAAAAAAAAUGUUAAGAGACUGUAUAUGAAAAAAAAGUGGAGCAUGUGUUGGAACUCCAGGGGAACAUCUUAUAUUAGCAUAAUAUAUUUCAUGAAAAAAGAGAGAGUUAAGUACUGGGAUCUUCCUGCUGCCUGUCAAGUCAGCAGCACGGAGUACUCAGUAGUCAGUACAACAUUUGUAGAAUGAACAAGUUUCUUCUUGGAGAAGGGUUGAGAAUGUGCAAGGUCCAGCUUCUCUAAAAAGAAAUGUUGGUUAAUGUCAACAUAGUUAUCUCUCUAUCUCUUUCUUCAUGGUUGUGUGUGUAUCUGUAUUCUUUCAUAGUAUGUACCAAAUAAAUAUCUACCUUAUCAAAAAAAAGAGUAUGUAUCAAAUAAAAUACGAAUACAUCAAACUAUUUGAAAACUCAUUAUGUCAACCAUGAUUGAUAUCUAUCUGGCAAUAUUUGGUGGAACUCUGAUUUGUACAUACAUGUAUCUGUUAUUCUCCUGGCAACAUUAUUGUGGUAAAGUUAUGGAUGUAUCCUUGCAGGUUGCUUUCAGGACAAAAGUUUUCCAUCCAAAUAUUAACAGUAAUGACAGUAUAUGCCUGGACAUAUUGAAGGAGCAGUGGAGCCCUGCCUUAACUAUUUCCAAGGUUUUGCUUUCAAUUUGAUCUUUUUUGAUGGACCCACACCCUGAUGACCCCCUGGUGCCUGAGAUUGCACAAGAAGAAUAUAGUAAGUACAAUAACUCUGCAAGUACUAGGCCCUUGGAUUAUACCAAUGAAAAAUCUGAAAUCUUUAUGUUGACUUACCUGUCCUACUUCCGUUCUUUGGUCAUACCCAAAAACUAUCUAUUUGUCCGAAAAAGCAAGAACUUUCCUAUUCAACACUCCAUUUUAUUACCAGAUGCUCAACUUGGGAAUAGCAGAUACUCAACUUGGGACUCACUUUUUAUGUUAUUAAUCUGUACUAAUCAAUGUCUCCGCUUGAUUUGGCACUAGUACUACAGUAAGUUAAAAAUGCAAACUUUGAGGAAAUUUUGUUGAAUCUAUUGCUUACUUUUUUUGAUCUUUUUGAAUACGAUCAUUUCAUGAGAGAAGUAAAAGCAGGGUCCAGCCUCCCUAGCCCACAAAGGAAGGGAUAAGGUCUGCUAUAUUCAACCCUCCCCAGACCUUACUUGUGGGAUUACACUAGGUAUGUUGCUGUUGUAAGUAGAAGCGAGGUCCAGAAUUUUAGUGGAUAACAGUACCAGUCUCUAGAUUUUCCUUUUAGCUAAGUAGAUAUAACUUUGACAUGUACACCUUCAUCAAAAGCAUUACUUUAACAUGGAUGGAAAGGAAUACAAGAUUAUUGGAGGUAAAAAAGUUCAAAUUCCACUUUCCAAAGAUUUUCGUAAACUAUAAUAGAUAGCAAGUAAUGAAGCACCAAAAGUGGAAGUUAAAAAACAACAUCAACUAUGAGAAAAGCAGUAGGAAUGCACCUCUUCAAUUGAUUUUGGUUUCUGUGCGCUCAAAAUAAGAAUAUAUCCUUCAUUCCUCCUUUGGCAUAAUUCAAUGGCACAUCCAAUUUUAGUGCAUCUACUAAGUGCUCAUAUAUAUCCCUAUAAAUUCAUCUAUUCAUGUUAUGAUCAUCAUUUCUUUGAGGAUCUAGUUUUAAUAAAAAAUAUUCAAAUUCUGAAAUGUGUAUGCUAAUAAUUACCUUGUUUUGAUUUUUGUACUGCUUCCGUGAGACUAUGGGGUUAUACUAAAUAUGUUUUUGUUGUACGUAGUACUUAUUAAGUGAACCAGUUGUAGGGCAGCUCUCUGUUUGGCAGAUAAUUAUGAUUCAUGAGAUAAUUUCUGUGGUGUCCAAAAUAAAGAAAAAAAUGAAGAAAGUGAUGAAGACAUUGACCUUACUUGAGAAGAUUUUUGGGUUGUGGAUAAAUUCUCUAAUAUCAAUAGUUUUGUGUUGAAUUUCUUGAAACUUAUCACAACUCAAACUUGCUACUAUGUAAAAACUUAACUAAUCAUUUGGACUUGAUUACAUUUUGCUUUUGUGAUUAAAUUACUAGCUUGUUGCA